GAUGAACGCUGGCGGCGUGCCUAAUACAUGCAAGUCGAGCGAACGGACGAGAAGCUUGCUUCUCUGAUGUUAGCGGCGGACGGGUGAGUAACACGUGGAUAACCUACCUAUAAGACUGGGAUAACUUCGGGAAACCGGAGCUAAUACCGGAUAAUAUUUUGAACUGCAUGGUUCAAAAGUGAAAGAAGGUCUUGCUGUCACUUAUAGAUGGAUCCGCGCUGCAUUAGCUAGUUGGUAAGGUAACGGCUUACCAAGGCAACGAUGCAUAGCCGACCUGAGAGGGAGGUCGGGCACACGGGAACUGAGACACGGUCCAGACUCCUGCGGGGGGCAGCAGUAGGGAAUCUUCCGCGAUGGGCGAAAGCCUGACGGAGCAACGCCGCGUGAGUGAUGAAGGUCUUAGGAUCGUAAAACUCUGUUAUUAGGGAAGAACAUAUAUGUAAGUAACUGUGCACAUCUUGACGGUACCUAAUCAGAAAGCCACGGCUAACUACGUG
This 497-nucleotide ribosomal RNA is filed under the name uncultured bacterium. RNAcentral's name for it is "partial 16S ribosomal RNA". It matches the Rfam family "Bacterial small subunit ribosomal RNA", at positions 28 to 507 of the family's 1533-position model. The record is from RNAcentral.